GAUGAACGCUGGCGGCGUGCCUAAUACAUGCAAGUCGAGCGAACGGACGAGAAGCUUGCUUCUCUGAUGUUAGCGGCGGACGGGUGAGUAACACGUGGAUAACCUACCUAUAAGACUGGGAUAACUUCGGGAAACCGGAGCUAAUACCGGAUGAUAUUUUGAACCGCAUGGUUCAAAAGUGAAAGACGGUCUUGCUGUCACUUAUAGAUGGAUCCGCACUGCAUUAGCUAGUUGGUAAGGUAACGGCUUACCAAGGCAACGAUGCAUAGCCGACCUGAGAGGGUGAUCGGCCACACUGGAACUGAGACACGGUCCAGACUCCUACGGGAGGCAGCAGUAGGGAAUCUUCCGCAAUGGGCGAAAGCCUGACGGAGCAACGCCGCGUGAGUGAUGAAGGUCUUCGGAUCGUAAAACUCUGUUAUUAGGGAAGAACAUACGUGUAAGUAACUGUGCACAUCUUGACGGUACCUAAUCAGAAAGCCACGGCUAACUACGUG
Molecule: ribosomal RNA, 497 nt
Filed under: uncultured bacterium
Lineage: Bacteria
Description: partial 16S ribosomal RNA
Rfam family: Bacterial small subunit ribosomal RNA
Source: RNAcentral